RNAcentral lists this ribosomal RNA (496 nucleotides) under uncultured bacterium. RNAcentral describes it as "partial 16S ribosomal RNA". It matches the Rfam family "Bacterial small subunit ribosomal RNA", at positions 29 to 507 of the family's 1533-position model. The record is from RNAcentral.
AUGCACGCUGGCGGCGUGCCUAAUACAUGCAAGUCGAGCGAACAGGCGAGGAGCUUGCUCCUCUGACGUUAGCGGCGGACGGGUGAGUAACACGUGGAUAACCUACCUAUAAGACUGGGAUAACUUCGGGAAACCGGAGCUAAUACCGGAUAAUAUAUUGAACCGCAUGGUUCAAUAGUGAAAGACGGUUUUGCUGUCACUUAUAGAUGGAUCCGCGCCGCAUUAGCUAGUUGGUAAGGUAACGGCUUACCAAGGCAACGAUGCGUAGCCGACCUGAGAGGGUGAUCGGCCACACUGGAACUGAGACACGGUCCAGACUCCUACGGGAGGCAGCAGUAGGGAAUCUUCCGCAAUGGGCGAAAGCUUGACGGAGCAACGCCGCGUGAGUGAUGAAGGUCUUCGGAUCGUAAAACUCUGUUAUUAGGGAAGAACAAAUGUGUAAGUAACUAUGCACGUCUUGACGGUACCUAAUCAGAAAGCCACGGCUAACUACGUG